RNAcentral lists this ribosomal RNA (770 nucleotides) under uncultured bacterium. RNAcentral's name for it is "bacterial SSU rRNA". It matches the Rfam family "Bacterial small subunit ribosomal RNA", at positions 8 to 796 of the family's 1533-position model. The record is from RNAcentral.
AGAGUUUGAUCCUGGCUCAGGACGAACGCUGGCGGCGUGCUUAACACAUGCAAGUCGAGCGGAAAGGCCCUUCGGGGUACUCGAGCGGCGAACGGGUGAGUAACACGUGAGUAACCUGCCCCAGACUUUGGGAUAACCCUCGGAAACGGGGGCUAAUACCGAAUACGACUUGGACUCGCAUGGGUCUUGGUGGAAAGUUUUUCGGUUUGGGAUGGGCUCGCGGCCUAUCAGCUUGUUGGUGGGGUGAUGGCCUACCAAGGCGACGACGGGUAGCCGGCCUGAGAGGGCGACCGGCCACACUGGGACUGAGACACGGCCCAGACUCCUACGGGAGGCAGCAGUGGGGAAUAUUGCACAAUGGGCGGAAGCCUGAUGCAGCGACGCCGCGUGAGGGAUGACGGCCUUCGGGUUGUAAACCUCUUUCAGCAGGGACGAAGCGCAAGUGACGGUACCUGCAGAAGAAGCGCCGGCCAACUACGUGCCAGCAGCCGCGGUAAGACGUAGGGCGCGAGCGUUGUCCGGAUUUAUUGGGCGUAAAGAGCUCGUAGGCGGCUUGUCGCGUCGACCGUGAAAACUUGGGGCUCAACCCCAAGCCUGCGGUCGAUACGGGCAGGCUCGAGUUCGGUAGGGGAGACUGGAAUUCCUGGUGUAGCGGUGAAAUGCGCAGAUAUCAGGAGGAACACCGGUGGCGAAGGCGGGUCUCUGGGCCGAUACUGACGCUGAGGAGCGAAAGCGUGGGGAGCGAACAGGAUUAGAUACCCUCGUAGUCC